CCAGAACUCAACCUUGAGUAACAAAAGGUUUAAUUAAUUGUUACAAUGGAACAGAUGGUGCCCUGUAGUAAACUGAGAUCAUUCAUUACUAAUUAAAGACUUGGCCAGCCAGUGAGCCAAGAGAACGACCAUCGAAAAGGAAAAUACUAGUUUGUCGUUUGUGUUUGAAAAUGAGGGCCGUAGCUAGGCAGAAGUACAUUAAAGGAAGAAUGCACACUCACUAUGUGAGAUUUACCAGCAUCUUGGCAAAUUAAAAACUACAUAUAUUCUUUAAAAAGAAAACCAACUGACACAAAUUUAUUUUCAAUGUUAUAUAAUGCUUAUCCCAGUAAUUGGUAAUAAUGCAUUUUAUUGUGUUUUGGUUUGUAAAAAUGCAAGAAUAAGGUUAAAAAGGUAACAAGCAAUAAUUUUGUUUUGAAUGCGUUUAAAAGGGACACUAUGAGACUGCACGAUCUAUACAUCGAAAAUGCUUCACUAAGCAAAAGUUGUUUUGGUGCCAAUAGUGUCCCUUUCAAACUAAAAGUAUAUUUUGAAUUGAAGAGUAUAAUACAGAACUGUGAAUCUGUCACACAAGAUAGAACUGCCUUAACAGAUUGGAUGGCAUUAAUAAUACACUUUCAAACUUUUUUUUAACUCUUUGACAUUCACAUUUUUUUUUUUAUUCACUACUUAUAUCUACAUUUUCUGAGUUAAAGUGCAAAUUAGGCAGAGAAACCAUUAUUGUUCUUUCUUUCACAUUCUAAUAAUACUGACGGUAAUACAGAAAGGCUGAUUGCGAUGUACCAACGUUUAUUAGUUUUUGUAACUUAGCAAUUUAUUUUUACUGUAUGAUUUUUAGUUUGUUGAUUAGUAAUAUUAAAAAUUCAUAAAAUUUAAAAUUUCAAUUUUCCACUCUUAAUGCAAAUCUAUUUAAAUUUUCCUUAAUUAAGCUUCCCCCCCCCCUUUCUUCAUCUAAAAUUACAUUACAAAUUUUGCAAUAGAGUUCCCAUGAGGACUAUUUUUGAAAUGCGAAAAAUCAAGAAAAAAAUAAAUAAAAGUCAACUUACAUUCUA
Non-coding RNA from Pelobates cultripes (western spadefoot toad), 1052 nucleotides. The record is from the annotation of a GenBank genome assembly. Lineage: Eukaryota; Metazoa; Chordata; Amphibia; Anura; Pelobatidae.